Molecule: ribosomal RNA, 253 nt
Filed under: uncultured bacterium
Lineage: Bacteria
Description: partial 16S ribosomal RNA
Rfam family: Bacterial small subunit ribosomal RNA
Source: RNAcentral
UACAGAGGUCUCAAGCGUUGUUCGGAUUCAUUGGGCGUAAAGGGCGCGUAGGCUGCAGGGUAAGUCGGGUGUGAAAUCUCAGGGCUUAACCCUGAAACUGCACUCGAUACUGCUCUGCUUGAGGACUGGAGAGGAGACUGGAAUUCACGGUGUAGCAGUGAAAUGCGUAGAUAUCGUGAGGAAGACCAGUGGCGAAGGCGGGUCUCUGGACAGUUCCUGACGCUGAGGCGCGAAGGCCAGGGGAGCAAACGGG